GGGGAAUAUUGGACAAUGGGCGCAAGCCUGAUCCAGCCAUGCCGCGUGGGUGAAGAAGGCCUUCGGGUUGUAAAGCCCUUUUGUUGGGAAAGAAAAGCAGCCGGCCAAUACCCGGUUGUUCUGACGGUACCCAAAGAAUAAGCACCGGCUAACUUCGUGCCAGCAGCCGCGGUAAUACGAAGGGUGCAAGCGUUACUCGGAAUUACUGGGCGUAAAGGGUGCGUAGGCGGCCUUGUAAGUCAGAUGUGAAAGGCUACGGCUCAACCGUAGUAAGCAUUUGAAACUGCAGGGCUUGAGUGCAGGAGAGGAGAGUGGAAUUCCUAGUGUAGCGGUGAAAUGCGUAGAUAUCAGGAGGAACAUCCGUGGCGAAGGCGACUGCCUGGGCCAACACUGACACUGAGGCACGAAAGCGUGGGGAGCAAACA
RNAcentral lists this ribosomal RNA (425 nucleotides) under uncultured Lysobacteraceae bacterium. RNAcentral describes it as "bacterial SSU rRNA". It matches the Rfam family "Bacterial small subunit ribosomal RNA", at positions 356 to 774 of the family's 1533-position model. Lineage: Bacteria; Pseudomonadati; Pseudomonadota; Gammaproteobacteria; Lysobacterales; Lysobacteraceae. The record is from RNAcentral.